RNAcentral lists this ribosomal RNA (1372 nucleotides) under uncultured bacterium. Its description in RNAcentral is "bacterial SSU rRNA". It matches the Rfam family "Bacterial small subunit ribosomal RNA", at positions 28 to 1381 of the family's 1533-position model. The record is from RNAcentral.
GAUGAACGCUGGCGGCGUGCCUAAUACAUGCAAGUCGAGCGAACGGACGAGAAGCUUGCUUCUCUGAUGUUAGCGGCGGACGGGCGAGUAACACGUGGAUAACCUACCUAUAAGACUGGGAUAACUUCGGGAAACCGUAGCUAAUACCGGAUAAUAUUUUGAACCGCAUGGUUCAAAAGUGAAAGACGGCCUUGCUGUCACUUAUAGAUGGAUCCGCGCUGCAUUAGCUAGUUGGUAAGGUAACGGCUUACCAAGGCAACGAUGCAUAGCCGACCUGAGAGGGUGAUCGGCCACACUGGAACUGAGACACGGUCCAGACUCCUACGGGAGGCAGCAGUAGGGAAUCUUCCGCAAUGGGCGAAAGCCUGACGGAGCAACGCCGCGUGAGUGAUGAAGGUCUUCGGAUCGUAAAACUCUGUUAUUAGGGAAGAACAUAUGUGUAAGUAACUGUGCACAUCUUGACGGUACCUAAUCAGAAAGCCACGGCUAACUACGUGCCAGCAGCCGCGGUAAUACGUAGGUGGCAAGCGUUAUCCGGAAUUAUUGGGCGUAAAGCGCGCGUAGGCGGUUUUUUAAGUCUGAUGUGAAAGCCCACGGCUCAACCGUGGAGGGUCAUUGGAAACUGGAAAACUUGAGUGCAGAAGAGGAAAGUGGAAUUCCAUGUGUAGCGGUGAAAUGCGCAGAGAUAUGGAGGAACACCAGUGGCGAAGGCGACUUUCUGGUCUGUAACUGACGCUGAUGUGCGAAAGCGUGGGGAUCAAACAGGAUUAGAUACCCUGGUAGUCCACGCCGUAAACGAUGAGUGCUAAGUGUUAGGGGGUUUCCGCCCCUUAGUGCUGCAGCUAACGCAUUAAGCACUCCGCCUGGGGAGUACGACCGCAAGGUUGAAACUCAAAGGAAUUGACGGGGACCCGCACAAGCGGUGGAGCAUGUGGUUUAAUUCGAAGCAACGCGAAGAACCUUACCAAAUCUUGACAUCCUUUGACAACUCUAGAGAUAGAGCCUUCCCCUUCGGGGGACAAAGUGACAGGUGGUGCAUGGUUGUCGUCAGCUCGUGUCGUGAGAUGUUGGGUUAAAUCCCGCAACGAGCGCAACCCUUAAGCUUAGUUGCCAUCAUUAAGUUGGGCACUCUAAGUUGACUGCCGGUGACAAACCGGAGGAAGGUGGGGAUGACGUCAAAUCAUCAUGCCCCUUAUGAUUUGGGCUACACACGUGCUACAAUGGACAAUACAAAGGGCAGCGAAACCGCGAGGUCAAGCAAAUCCCAUAAAGUUGUUCUCAGUUCGGAUUGUAGUCUGCAACUCGACUACAUGAAGCUGGAAUCGCUAGUAAUCGUAGAUCAGCAUGCUACGGUGAAUACGUUCCCGGAUCU